GGCGAUGCGAGUCGAGACGAUGCCUUAAGAGCUUGCUUUUAUUAAGUUAGCGGCGGGCGGGGGAGUAACACGUGUGUAACCUGCCCAUAAGACUGGGAUAACUCCGGGAAACCGGGGCUAAUACCGGAUAACAUUUUGAACCGCAUGGGUCGAAAUUGAAAGGCGGCUUCGGCUGUCACUUAUGGAUGGACCCGCGUCGCAUUAGCUAGUUGGUGAGGUACCGGCUCACCAAGGCAACGAUGCGUAGCCAACCUGAGAGGGGGAUCGGGCACUCUGGGACUGAGAACGUCCCAGAGUCUUACGGGGGGGGCAGUUUGGAACUUCCGCAAUGAAGAAGUCGAGGAGCAAGCCGCGGGAGUGUUGGGGUUUCGGUCUAAACCUGUGUUAGGAAAACAGGCUAGUUGA
Molecule: ribosomal RNA, 405 nt
Filed under: Bacillus cereus ATCC 14579
Lineage: Bacteria; Bacillati; Bacillota; Bacilli; Caryophanales; Bacillaceae
Description: bacterial SSU rRNA
Rfam family: Bacterial small subunit ribosomal RNA
Source: RNAcentral